This 243-nucleotide ribosomal RNA is filed under the name uncultured bacterium. Its description in RNAcentral is "partial 16S ribosomal RNA". It matches the Rfam family "Bacterial small subunit ribosomal RNA", at positions 355 to 615 of the family's 1533-position model. The record is from RNAcentral.
UGGGGAAUCUUGCACAAUGGGGGCAACCCUGAUGCAGCGACGCCGCGUGAGCGAUGAAGCCCUUCGGGGCGUAAAGCUCUUUCGACCGGAACGAUAAUGACGGUACCGGGAGAAGAAGCUGCGGCUAACUACGUGCCAGCAGCCGCGGUAAUACGUAGGCAGCAAGCGUUGUUCGGAGUUACUGGGCGUAAAGAGUGCGUAGGCGGUUUUCUAAGUUCGGUGUGAAAUCUCCCGGCUUAACUG